UAAGGACAUACCUAAACAUAUUAAAAUAUUAUUCACUUUGACAAUGGAACUAGUUCCAAGACAUGAACUAUUGCUAUAUUAGAAACAAGAAGCAAUCAGUAUUUUUCAUUGCCUAAGAAUCUCUAUACUACAAAAAAUCCAUCACUUCUAAUGAAAUUGACACACAGAAAAUGAAGCCACAUGAACAUCUGAAAGAGAUUAAAACGGAAUAAAAAGUC
This is a long non-coding RNA of Herpailurus yagouaroundi (jaguarundi), 218 nucleotides long. RefSeq lists it as uncharacterized. Lineage: Eukaryota; Metazoa; Chordata; Mammalia; Carnivora; Felidae. The transcript is spliced from 2 exons. The record is from RefSeq and is a predicted model, not a curated record.